Molecule: ribosomal RNA, 418 nt
Filed under: Paracercion calamorum
Lineage: Eukaryota; Metazoa; Arthropoda; Insecta; Odonata; Coenagrionidae
Description: partial 16S ribosomal RNA
Rfam family: Archaeal large subunit ribosomal RNA (bases 1-205)
Source: RNAcentral
CGCCUGUUUAACAAAAACAUGUCCUCAUGUUUUUAUUUGAGGUUUGGCCUGCCCGGUGAUUUUAAUUUAACGGCCGCGGUAUAUUGACCGUGCAAAGGUAGCAUAAUCAUUAGUCUUUUAAUAGGAGGCUGGUAUGAAAGGUUUAACGAAAAAUUAACUGUCUCAAUUAUAAAUUUGAAUUUAACUUUUAAGUUAAAAGGCUUAAAUUUUUUUGUAGGACGAGAAGACCCUAUAGAGCUUUACAUUUAAUAUUUUGUUAUAUUGAUUUAGAUUAAUAUUUUUAAUUAACUUUAAAAAAUGUUUUGUUGGGGUGACAAGAAAUAUAUAUUUAACUUUUAUUAUUAUAUUUUCAUUAAUUUAUGAUUAUUGGAUCCAAAAUUUUUGAUCAUUAGAAUAAGUUACCUUAGGGAUAACAGCG